Long non-coding RNA from Gasterosteus aculeatus aculeatus (three-spined stickleback), 4634 nucleotides. The record is from Ensembl. Lineage: Eukaryota; Metazoa; Chordata; Actinopteri; Perciformes; Gasterosteidae.
CCUGUUAGCUGUUAGCUCUGUCCCAUUUAUUAGACUGUGUUAGCCGUUAGCUUUGUUCGCUGUAUUAUCUCCUGUUAGCUGUUAGCUCUGUGCCAUUUAUUAGACUGUGUUAGCCGUUAGCUUUGUUCGCUGUAUGAGCUCCUGUUAGCUGUUAGCUCUGUCCCAUUUAUUAGACUGUGUUAGCCGCUAGCUUUGUUCGCUGUAUUAGCUCCUGUUAGCUGUUAGCUCUGUCCCAUUUACUAGACUGUGUUAGCCGUUAGCUUUGUCCGCUGUAUUAGCUCCUGUUAGCUGUUAGCUCGGUCUCAUUUAUUAGGCUCUGUGGUUAAUAAUCGUCGCACAUCGCUGUGUUUUUAUUUGAACAAACGUCAGAAUCAAUGUGAUGGACGAAGGCUCAUGAAAACACCACCUGAGAAGAGACAUCCGGGUGUUUGGUUCUUCCACCUGUGAGUAGAUGUUCCUCAACGAGAUCAAUGAUUUGUGAUGUGAGUUAUGCUGCUGAUUGGUUCAGGCAUUCCAACGGCACCUCAUUAUGAAACAGGCGUGUUGGCAGCGCUCCAGUAAAUACUACAGCCCAGGUGUGAUAAAUAAUGACUGAUAACGCUGGAGAGGAAAAGCUGCUGGCACACGACCAGAAUAGAUUCUGUGUGCGUGUGCGUGUGUGUGUGUGUGUUACACAAAGGUUCCUCGGGGUUUACUCAGCCCUUUAUAAACCUGUUUCAUUAAUGAAACAUUCACCGCGAUGACAUGGGAAUGAAGCUCAAAGACGCUUAUGAAAAAUGGAUUACAGAAACACUGCUUUAGUUUGAAUUAAUUUGAAUUUGAAGUCAUUUGAAUUUGACUACGUCCUUUCAACGUGAUUAUUGGAUAUUUGGGGAGCGUCGCUGUCCGUGGCUUCGUUUCACGAGCUUAAAACUACUCACUUCUCUCCAGCGUUCUAGUUCAGCAAUCAACAAAAAUCCCCGUCCCCUUUGGUAUUCAGACGGAUGCUCACUUAUUGGCGAGUGACGUCGGUGGGAUGUUGACUCGUGUAGUAAACAUGACUGAACACAAAGAGGCUCCUCUUCACGGCCCCCCCGACUGCUGCUUACGUCAAGAGUGAAUCUACUCUGAGCGCCGCGCGCUCCUCAAGCAAAAGUUUGUUUUCCCCACGGAGAGUAAACGCUGGAGCACCGUGUUGGGUUUGAGGAUGGAGGGCCAAACAAACACAGGGCUUUCGCCCCAAUCAUGUCUUUUCUUAAAUAUUUAAUUAUGUAUCCAAAUCUCGCUUCAAACCCGACUAGCUGAGUACAGAAAAACGUCAAGCGUUAAAAAAAGACACUCAGAGCUUCUAUCACAGGGAAUAAAGUGAGUUUAAGGCUCUACAGACAUGAAAACUCAUCGUGUUGAAUCCUAAACCCAAAAGAUGAACAAACCUUAACUUUGCAUUUAUGUUUUUCAGCCUUUUGAAUCAGUUUAUUUUCAGAUUCAGUGUCAAUUUUGCAGGUAAAACCCAUCAAAUGAAUGGAAGGUUUCCUUUGGAACGUGAAACCAACGAUGAAGUCAGGAAUAUUUGAAGUGGAGGAAGUGGAACCGGCGGCUCCUCUCCAGAGGUCAGUGUGUGUGUUGGUGAGUAAAUGUGGGCGGAGCUUGAAGGCUCGGAGCCAAUUACUGAUAAAUAACAGAGUAAUAAACCAGAGGGAGACCGAUAGAGGAACACAGAGUGGAGUUUAAAUACGCAGCCAGACACUCUGUCUCCACAGCGCUUCGUCAUUUCCACCGUGUGUGUGUGUGUGUGUGUGUCAGCCUGUUUAUUACUUUGGGGGGGGGGGGGGGGGUAGGUUCAGGGUGUGUCUUUGUGUGUGUGCUCUUGGUCAAUCUGUGCGUUCCAAAAUGUGUGUGUGUGCAAAAGUCAAUUAGAAUCAAUUUGUACCCUCAGCUGUUUGACCCCCCAACAGGCCGCCUUCCCCACGACUGCCUGUGUGCGUGUGCGUGUGUGUGUGUGUGUGUGUGUGCGUGUGUGUGUGUGUUUCAGCUUGUUACCUUGUUAUUGCAGAACUGAUGGGUCCCUUUGGUCACUGUGUGUGGGUCAGUUUGGUCAGGAGAGUGUGUGUACAUGUGUGUUCUUGUGCAUAUGUGUGUGUCUGUGUGUGUGUGUGUGUGUGUGUGUGUGUUUGUAAAUUGGAGCAACUCAGAUGAUCAGCUUCCAUCAGUCAGUGAAAAUAAAAACCCAAACACGGGGGGACGAGUCUCCGUCUCCUCUCGUCACAGUAAUUUACUUUAAAAAAGCGGAGCGACGAAACCGGGAAGAAAAAAGUCAAACACAGGACACCUGUUCAGGUCACUUUCAAUCCGCCUCAGGUCUCUGAUGUCCAUCCGGCCUGUGGUUGGACUGAAAAAACAAGAGUGCCAGGGAUCUGCACCAGGACACAUCUGGGUUGGACAGAUUUUAAGCUUCUUGAAUAAGAAAUAUCCCAUUUCACAUAAUAUUGUUUCUAUUGUAAAUCAAAAGUGCUGAUUCAAAAAACAUUUGGAUUAUUUCAAAGCUCCUUUGAUUAUGUUUGUUCACUGUGGGGAACAUUUGUAAAGUGACACCAUGUCGUGUAUUAUGAGUUGGUCCUUGUGUAAUAUGUGUGUACUUAUUAUUCCCGGGGGGGCUAUUUCAUAAACGGUGACGGUGCCCUCCUACUGCGCGUGAGAUGAAGAGAAGUGGUUCACGCUCUUUGAAUUCACCUUUUACAUUAAAGGUUGCCAGGUUUGCUCAAGGGCUCAGUCGGUGUUCAUGAGACUCGGUUGUUUGUCCCACCGUUAGCUGUGACCCGCUGACAUGUUUCAGCAGGGUGUUGCAGUGCCGGCUCGUUCGGCCUCCAUACUUUCUAUUUCACAAACUCUAAGAGUGUGUGUGUGUGUGUGUGUGUGUGUGUGUGUGUGUGUGUGUGUGUGUGGGACCAGAAGACGUAUGGCUGGUCGACAGAUUACAGCGGAAGGUGGAGAAGGUAAUGGCCUCGAUGUGGGCGUGUACCUGUGUGUACACAUGUGUGUGUGUGUGUGUGUGUGUGUGUGUGUGUCAUUUACAUUUCCGCCUGUAAUUAGUUGCUCAAACAAGUUUUAGUUCCUGAACGACCAACAAAACAAUGACGCUGAGACCUUUUAUGGGUCAAAGGUCACAGCAUCCAGCCCCGGAUAAAGACUCUGACGUAUUCAUUUAGUUUGAGUAGAAGAUUUCUCUUUUUGUUUUACCUGCAAUGUUCUCUAAAUGUUUGUUCCUGGCCUUUCUUGGCUUCUCGCUGCCUCCCUGAAAUGGUGUUCAGAGACGCAUAAUUAUGAUGUAAUUAUGAUAUAUGGCGGGUUUUGUAGUCCUAAAGCAAGUCCUGAAUGUAUCGAGACUUUGUGACGGUCAUAACUAACAAUCCAAACAUGCGGCACCGUUUAAAUCUUUUGUAAAAUAAAUAGUUAUAAUCUCAAUCUCAGCAGUCUAUGAACAGGCGGAGAAAGACGGAGUGAACGGACGACUGGUUCUGCCUGAGCGGGACGGAGAGGGAGAGACAGAGAGGGAGAGAUGACCUGUGAUGGGCCGCAGCCACAGACAGAGGUCAGGUGAAAGGUCAUCCAGGGGUUGAAGAGAUGGAGGAGCGAGGGGCAUAUCAACACGUUGUCUAAUAUCUAUCCCGUGUGUGUGCGUGCACGUGUGUGUGUGUGUGUGUGAUUGAUCCGUCCAACCCGGUGGCCGCGGCUAUAAAGCCUAAAGAGACCGGAGAUGAGUGUGUGUUGGUCUGUGUGUGUGUGUGUGUGUGUGUGUCUGGGGGGGGGAGGGGCUGAGGGAUGAGAGGCGAUCCGUCUCCCGUGGCGACAGGCCGGACCGUGGACUCUUCCGCUUCCUCUAAAUAUUUACAGAGCGCUGGCCAAUCUGAGCCAAACAGAGUCUGCCCCCAGCCGCGACGUGCAGUGAGUCUGCGUGAGUGCGUCCGUGUGUGUACUUCAAGUGAUUACACACAUUUUCACCAGUUUGGACUCGCUAACGUGAGUGGUGCUCCCGGAGAUCCAAACUUCACACUCACUUAGCGCGUUUUUUACAAUUAAAAUCAGACCAGCUAUUAGCCCUGACACACACACACACACACACACGCCGUCUGUCACACACGCGCGCACACAAACAUGAUUACACAAACACGUCAAGUUUCCCCAGAGUUAUACAAAGUGGUCCGAUUAACUCUCUCGAAAGCACACUCAGAUUCAUCUAAACAUGCAAAAACACAUCCAUCUCUUCCUGUUACUCUCUUUCUCUCACACACACACACUCUCCCAUGCGCACACGCACACACACACACACACACACACAGCCAGAGCACGUGUGUGCAGUGAAAGUGCUCAGCCUGCCCGUUUGAGCGAACAGUAAAUGAAUAAAAUGUGUUCGAGCCGCUGAGAGGAAGUGGUUUCCAGACCGCCUCAGCAUGUUGGGAACAGCUGUUUGUGCGUUUGUGUACGUGUGUGUACGUGUGUGAACCGGCUUGUUCAUGAGUAGCAUGUUUUCAUCCUGUGUGGGUUUGCAUCUGCGUAUCUCUUGAAGUGUGUUUCCACAUGUGUGUGUUUUUCCUUAUAUCCUGCCUGUGUGUGUGUGUGUGUGUGUGUGUGUGUGUGUGUGUGUGUGUGUGUGUGUG